GCUUGGUUCUCGCCCUGUCUUAGGUUGCCGCUGCAGAGGGGGGGUUGUUGGGUGAACGCCCCGGUACAGACAUAUAGGGUGGCGCAUAUGGCUUGAGUCGUAGUGGGCAACCCGGGGGGGUUUUGCUCAUAGGGCCCUCUAAUCUGCAUGUCGUAUCGGCAUGGUGGUCUAUCUGUCGGGGUGGGGGGCGGUACUUUGCUAACAUUUUGGUGGUUUUGUCCCCGCCAUUAGGGUUGCUGUAGGAGUAGU
Molecule: non-coding RNA, 249 nt
Organism: Pelobates cultripes (western spadefoot toad)
Lineage: Eukaryota; Metazoa; Chordata; Amphibia; Anura; Pelobatidae
Source: the annotation of a GenBank genome assembly